Molecule: ribosomal RNA, 1612 nt
Filed under: Curtobacterium sp. PsM8
Lineage: Bacteria; Bacillati; Actinomycetota; Actinomycetes; Micrococcales; Microbacteriaceae
Description: partial 23S ribosomal RNA
Rfam family: Bacterial large subunit ribosomal RNA
Source: RNAcentral
GGUCAAGUUUCUAAGAGCAAACGGUGGAUGCCUUGGCAUCUGGAGCCGAAGAAGGACGUAGAAAUCUGCGAUAAGCCUCGGGGAGCUGAUAAUCGAGCUGUGAGCCGAGGAUUUCCGAAUGGGGAAACCCCGCCAGGCGCUUUUGUGACCUGGUGACUCCCGCCUGAAUAUAUAGGGCGGGUAGAGGGAACGUGGGGAAGUGAAACAUCUCAGUACCCACAGGAAGAGAAAACAACAUGUGAUUCCGUGAGUAGUGGCGAGCGAAAACGGAUGAGGCUAAACCGAUCAUGUGUGAUAGCCGGCGGGCGUUGCAUGGUCGGGGUUGUGGGACACGUCACUCAGUUCUGCCGGACUGGGACGGUUACAGCGCAUCAUAGUCGAACCGGUUUGAAAGCCGGGCCGUAGUGGGUGCCAGCCCCGUAGACGAAAUGGUGUUAUGGCCGGAUGUGUAUCCCAAGUAGCACGGGGCCCGAGAAAUCCCGUGUGAAUCUGUCAGGACCACCUGAUAAGCCUAAAUACUCCCAGAUGACCGAUAGCGGACAAGUACCGUGAGGGAAAGGUGAAAAGUACCCCGGGAGGGGAGUGAAAUAGUACCUGAAACCGUUUGCUUACAAACCGUCGGAGCCUCCUUUGUAGGGGUGACGGCGUGCCUUUUGAAGAAUGAGCCUGCGAGUUAGCGAUAUGUGGCGAGGUUAACCCGUGUGGGGUAGCCGUAGCGAAAGCGAGUCUGAAUAGGGCGAUUCAGUCGCAUGUCCUAGACCCGAAGCGAAGUGAUCUAUCCAUGGCCAGGUUGAAGCGACGGUAAGACGUCGUGGAGGACCGAACCCACUUCAGUUGAAAAUGGAGGGGAUGAGCUGUGGAUAGGGGUGAAAGGCCAAUCAAACUUCGUGAUAGCUGGUUCUCUCCGAAAUGCAUUUAGGUGCAGCGUUGCGUGUUUCUCGCCGGAGGUAGAGCUACUGGAUGGCCGAUGGGCCUCAACAGGUUACUGACGUCAGCCAAACUCCGAAUGCCGGUGAGUGAGAGCGCAGCAGUGAGACGGUGGGGGAUAAGCUUCAUCGUCGAGAGGGAAACAACCCAGACUACCAACUAAGGUCCCUAAGCGUGUGCUAAGUGGGAAAGGAUGUGGAGUUGCACAGACAACCAGGAGGUUGGCUUAGAAGCAGCCACCCUUGAAAGAGUGCGUAAUAGCUCACUGGUCAAGUGAUUCCGCGCCGACAAUGUAACGGGGCUCAAGCACACCACCGAAGUUGUAGAUUUCGCACACUCGACAAGCCUUCGUGGUUCAGUCGUGCGGAGUGGUAGGAGAGCGUCGUGUGGCGAGUGAAGCGGCGGAGUGAUCCAGCCGUGGACGCUACACGAGUGAGAAUGCAGGCAUGAGUAGCGAAAGACGGGUGAGAAACCCGUCCUCCGAAAGACCAAGGGUUCCAGGGCCAGGUUAAUCCGCCCUGGGUAAGUCGGGACCUAAGGCGAGGCCGACAGGCGUAGUCGAUGGACAACGGGUUGAUAUUCCCGUACCGGCGAACAACCGCCCAAGCUAAUCCAGUGGUGCUAAGAGUCCUAACCCGGUACUUGUUGAUCCCUUCGGGGUGAGACGGGCCGGUCUAACGCUCGA